This 253-nucleotide ribosomal RNA is filed under the name uncultured bacterium. Its description in RNAcentral is "partial 16S ribosomal RNA". It matches the Rfam family "Bacterial small subunit ribosomal RNA", at positions 524 to 776 of the family's 1533-position model. The record is from RNAcentral.
GACGAACCGUGCGAACGUUGUUCGGAAUCACUGGGCUUAAAGGGCGCGUAGGCGGGCGGUCAAGUCAGAGGUGAAAUCCCACGGCUCAACCGUGGAAGUGCCCCUGAUACUGAUCGCCUCGAGGGAGGUAGGGGCGUGCGGAACUUCCGGUGGAGCGGUGAAAUGCGUAGAUAUCGGAAGGAACACCGAUGGCGAAAGCAGCGCGCUGGACCUUUACUGACGCUGAGGCGCGAAAGCCAGGGGAGCAAACAGG